Molecule: long non-coding RNA, 314 nt
Organism: Balaenoptera ricei (Rice's whale)
Lineage: Eukaryota; Metazoa; Chordata; Mammalia; Artiodactyla; Balaenopteridae
Exons: 3
Source: RefSeq, a predicted model, not a curated record
AGCAGCCAGGCACGGGAUCAAGUUACCAAACCAGCGUUUUUGCGGAGGUCAGAAGAUGUGGGAGAAGAGAGCCGGACACUAACUUUUUUCUGAAAAAAAUCACGCGCUUAAAAAAAAAAAAAAAAAGGAAGAGACCCAGCUCACAGCAGGGCAGACUGAAGAAGUGGCAUCUCACGGACGGGACCCAGAGAUUGGAGGAACCAGUGUCAAAGACGACAGAGAAGUUUUGUGGGGGCGUUCCCAGCCCAAUUUCCCCAUAAUACUGGACCUGAUGGCAAAACAGGAGAGGUCCUGGAUGAAGAGCUUGACCAAGG